This 253-nucleotide ribosomal RNA is filed under the name uncultured bacterium. RNAcentral's name for it is "partial 16S ribosomal RNA". It matches the Rfam family "Bacterial small subunit ribosomal RNA", at positions 524 to 776 of the family's 1533-position model. The record is from RNAcentral.
UACGUAGGGUGCGAGCGUUAAUCGGAAUUACUGGGCGUAAAGCGUGCGCAGGCGGUUCUCCAAGUCCGUGGUGAAAUCUCUGAGCUUAACUCAGAAACUGCCGUGGAUACUAUUUGCCUUGAAUAUUGUGGAGGUGAGCGGAAUAUGUCAUGUAGCGGUGAAAUGCUUAGAUAUGACAUAGAACACCAAUUGCGAAGGCAGCUCACUACACAAUCAUUGACGCUGAGGCACGAAAGCGUGGGGAUCAAACAGG